Long non-coding RNA from Zea mays, 1017 nucleotides. RefSeq lists it as uncharacterized. Lineage: Eukaryota; Viridiplantae; Streptophyta; Magnoliopsida; Poales; Poaceae. The record is from RefSeq and is a predicted model, not a curated record. The transcript is spliced from 2 exons.
AAAAGAACAUGUUCUCCAAUGCUUACUCUAGUCUCUAGCUAGUCCUGCUUCCACGCAAUAUGAGGGGACCAACUUACAGACCACUACAAGCACACCAAUGCAAGCCUCCAAAGAGAUGGAGUAAGACUACAUGUGAAGCUAAACUGUCCAUCAAAGCUCCAAAAGCUCUAAAGAGAGCCCACACAAAGCGAAAGGGUAUGUUCCAAGCUUAACUGGCAGUACAGAGAGCCUUGGCCAUGCAUCCUCUAGACUAGACGACGAUGGUAUGCAAGAACAUGCAUGCAAGAGGUAGCAUAGGUCUGUGAACCACACCACUACGUAUACGCCUUGCACUUGCACGCAAGAGCCGCCAGUAGUUGAACAAGGUUGAUAUAUACAAGAUGGUGUGAGCUCGCAAACUGACGUUUCACUGCAAGAUGAUGCGACGAUUUUUGAGGUCACCCAAUCGGCUUGCUUAGCUGUUUCUCAUUUGCAUGUUCCUGCCAAGAAAGAUAUAUCAACUGCUUUUGCUUGUGGGGACAUAUAUGGAUGAUUGUGAGAUUGCAAGCAAGGAAGGUUCUUUGCCAGAGGUGGAUCUACAGUGUGGGCAAAGUGGGCCAUGGCCCCACCUCAAAUUGGCCGAACUUGAGGACUUGUUUAGUGACAUGUUUUUUUUUUGUUGCGGAUGAGUGUUUUUAAGAUGGGACAUAUCUGGUGCAAACUAACUCCUCCGUGCAACCGUGCAAACUUCUAAUAUAAACCACAUAAUGUUGAUCUAAGGGAGCGAGAGCGGGGGAGGGGAGGGGGAUUUGAAAAAGUGUGAUUAACAACGUGCAGUUAAGUGCAAAAAUUAUCCACGCUCCUGCGUCCCUUGGAUCAACAUCAUGUGGCCCAGAUUAGAGAUUUGCACGGUUGCAUGAAGAGGUUGGUUUACACCAGAUAUGUUCCCUUUCAUGAUAUUACGGCAUUUAUUUGAGAACUGUCAGUUGAUGGAGAAGUUUAAAGGGGUGUUUGAUUUAUAAGAACUAAUUUUUAGUU